This 261-nucleotide ribosomal RNA is filed under the name uncultured bacterium. RNAcentral describes it as "partial 16S ribosomal RNA". It matches the Rfam family "Bacterial small subunit ribosomal RNA", at positions 78 to 334 of the family's 1533-position model. The record is from RNAcentral.
CGUAGGAGAGUGGCCGGACCCGGGCCGGCGGACGGGUGAGUAACACGUACUCACCUGCCGAUAACUCGGGGAUAGCCUUUCGAAAGAAAGAUUAAUACCCGAUGGCAUAAUAGAACCGCAUGGUUUGAUUAUUAAAGAAUUUCGGUUAUCGAUGGGGAUGCGUUCCAUUAGGCAGUUGGUGGGGUAACGGCCCACCAAACCUUCGAUGGAUAGGGGUUCUGAGAGGAAGGUCCCCCACAUUGGAACUGAGACACGGUCCAA